AUUGAACGCUGGCGGCAGGCCUAACACAUGCAAGUCGAGCGAGCGGCGGACGGGUGAGUAAUGUCUGGGAAACUGCCUGAUGGAGGGGGAGAACUACUGGAAACGGUAGCUAAUACCGCAUACCAUCAGAUGUGCCCAGAUGGGAUUAGCUGUUAGGUGGGGUAACGGCUCACCUAGGCGACGAUCCCUAGCUGGUCUGCGAGGAUGACCAGCCCCACUGGACCUGAUACACGGUCCAGACUCCUACGGGGGGCAGCAGUGGGGAAUAUUGCACAAGGGGCGCAAGCCUGAUGCAGCCAUGCCGGGGGUAUGAAGAAGGCCUUCGGUUUGUAAAGUACUUUCAGCGGGGAGGCGUUACCCGCAGAAGAAGCACCGGCUAACUCCGUGCCAGCCGCCGCGGUAAUAC
Molecule: ribosomal RNA, 406 nt
Filed under: uncultured bacterium
Lineage: Bacteria
Description: partial 16S ribosomal RNA
Rfam family: Bacterial small subunit ribosomal RNA
Source: RNAcentral